GCUACGACCACCACCACGACUACCACCACCAACACCACCAAAACGAGCUUUCCUCAUGAAAACUCGAAGAGAGUCAUGAUGAUCCAACGGAUUGGAGUCACCGUGUUGUGCAAGUCUUCGUUCACUCUCCUUAUUUUCAGAUGAAAUUGGCAAAGGCUGAGAGAGUAACAAUAGGAGUACAAUCAAUGAACAAGAAAAUGCCAGUGAAGUCCUCAUUUCUGUUUUAUCAAAUAAUAUGUGUGUAUAUACAUGUAUCUGAUCGAAAAAAAUCAGAAAUAUGUGUUAAUUUUACAAUGAUGGGACGCAUUAUGUGUGCAAAAGAAUUAGUAUUUAUAAUAUCGCUAGGCUUAGGUAACGAAACGACCAUGGCUUAAACAUGGGCUACUUCUUCUUUGAAAUGAUGUUUAAUACUAUUAUUGUAUUUAACUAUUGGGAUACUUAUUACUUAUUAGCA
This is a long non-coding RNA of Arabidopsis thaliana (thale cress), 454 nucleotides long. RefSeq annotates it as other RNA. The transcript has a single exon. Lineage: Eukaryota; Viridiplantae; Streptophyta; Magnoliopsida; Brassicales; Brassicaceae. The record is from RefSeq.